This 871-nucleotide ribosomal RNA is filed under the name Enterococcus hirae. Its description in RNAcentral is "bacterial SSU rRNA". It matches the Rfam family "Bacterial small subunit ribosomal RNA", at positions 64 to 914 of the family's 1533-position model. Lineage: Bacteria; Bacillati; Bacillota; Bacilli; Lactobacillales; Enterococcaceae. The record is from RNAcentral.
GGGAAAUUUUUACGGUGCUUGCUCCACCGGAAAAGAGGAGUGGCGAACGGGUGAGUAACACGUGGGUAACCUGCCCAUCAGAAGGGGAUAACACUUGGAAACAGGUGCUAAUACCGUAUAACAAUCGAAACCGCAUGGUUUUGAUUUGAAAGGCGCUUUCGGGUGUCGCUGAUGGAUGGACCCGCGGUGCAUUAGCUAGUUGGUGAGGUAACGGCUCACCAAGGCGACGAUGCAUAGCCGACCUGAGAGGGUGAUCGGCCACAUUGGGACUGAGACACGGCCCAAACUCCUACGGGAGGCAGCAGUAGGGAAUCUUCGGCAAUGGACGAAAGUCUGACCGAGCAACGCCGCGUGAGUGAAGAAGGUUUUCGGAUCGUAAAACUCUGUUGUUAGAGAAGAACAAGGAUGAGAGUAACUGUUCAUCCCUUGACGGUAUCUAACCAGAAAGCCACGGCUAACUACGUGCCAGCAGCCGCGGUAAUACGUAGGUGGCAAGCGUUGUCCGGAUUUAUUGGGCGUAAAGCGAGCGCAGGCGGUUUCUUAAGUCUGAUGUGAAAGCCCCCGGCUCAACCGGGGAGGGUCAUUGGAAACUGGGAGACUUGAGUGCAGAAGAGGAGAGUGGAAUUCCAUGUGUAGCGGUGAAAUGCGUAGAUAUAUGGAGGAACACCAGUGGCGAAAGGCGGCUCUCUGGUCUGUAACUGACGCUGAGCUCGAAAGCGUGGGGAGCAAACAGGAUUAGAUACCCUGGUAGUCCACGCCCGUAACGAUGAGUGCUAAGUGUUGAGGGUUCCGCCCAUCAUUGCCUGCAGCCUACGCAUUAGGCACUCCGCCUGGGGAUACAGACCGCAGGUGAACCCUCCAAAGGGAAAAU